This 101-nucleotide non-coding RNA is filed under the name Roseivivax isoporae. RNAcentral's name for it is "TPP sequence". It matches the Rfam family "TPP riboswitch aptamer (THI element)". Rfam says of the family: Vitamin B(1) in its active form thiamin pyrophosphate (TPP) is an essential coenzyme that is synthesised by coupling of pyrimidine and thiazole moieties in bacteria. The previously detected thiamin-regulatory element, thi box was extended, resulting in a new, highly conserved RNA secondary structure, the THI element, which is widely distributed in eubacteria and also occurs in some archaea. Analysis of operon structures identified a large number of new candidate thiamin-regulated genes, mostly transporters, in various prokaryotic organisms. Lineage: Bacteria; Pseudomonadati; Pseudomonadota; Alphaproteobacteria; Rhodobacterales; Roseobacteraceae. The record is from RNAcentral. RNAcentral also lists the same sequence under 1 other name.
UCACUUCCGUUGGGGUGCCCGUGAGGGGCUGAGAGGCGCGACGCCAACCCAUCGAACCUGAUCCGGGCAAUGCCGGCGUAGGGAACGGAGACCGAUCCGGC